GUACGCUGGCGGCUGCUUACCCAUGCGAAUUUAAGAACGGGUUUAAGUUUAUUACACUUAAAUCAGGUAGCGGACGGGUGAGUAACGCGUAAGAACCUACCUUUAGUAAGGAAUAACUAUUGGAAACGAUAGAUAAUACCUUAUAAGCUUAUAGUAAAAGAUAAAAUCGCCUAAGGAUGGGCUUGCGUCUGAUUAGCUUGUUGGUGAUUUAAAAGAUUCACCAAGGCAACGAUCAGUAGUUGGUCUAAGAGGAUGAUCAACCACACUGGGACUGAGACACGGCCCAGACCUCUACGGAGGGCAGCAGUGAGGAAUUUUCCGCAAUGGGCGAAAGCCUGACGGAGCAAUGCCGCGUGGAGGAUGAAAGCUUGUGAGUCGUAAACUCCUUUUCUUAGUGAAGAAAUAAGACGGUAUCUAAGGAAUAAGCAUCGGCUAACUCCGUGCCCGCAGCCGCGGUAAUACGGAGGAUGCAAGCGUUAUUCGGAAUUAUUGGGCGUAAAGCGUCUGUAGGUAGGUUAAAAAAAGUCUACUGUUAAAUAUUAAAGGCUUAACCUUAAAAAAGCGGUAUGAAACUAAAAAACUUGAGUUUAGUAAAGG
This 597-nucleotide ribosomal RNA is filed under the name uncultured phototrophic eukaryote. RNAcentral describes it as "bacterial SSU rRNA". It matches the Rfam family "Bacterial small subunit ribosomal RNA", at positions 31 to 657 of the family's 1533-position model. The record is from RNAcentral.